GCUAAACCUAGUCCUACCAUUAAACAACUUAACUAUAUCCAAUAAUACUCCAAAUCAUUUAAUAGACUAAGUAUAGGUGAUAGAACAGAAUUAUAAGGAACGAUAACGACAGUACCGCAAGGGAAAUUUGAAAUAUUAUUAUUUUCAAGCAAUAGAAAGCAAAGAUUCAGCCUUGUACCUUUUGUAUAAUGAUUUAGCUAGUCAACACGGACAAAAAGAAUUUAAGCCCGUCUUCCCGAAAUUAAGUGAGCUAUUAUAGGACUGUUGGCAGAACUAACUCGUCUAUGUGGCAAAAUAGUGAGAUGAUCUUAUAAUAGAGGUGAUAAGCCUAUCGAACUUAAGGAUAGCUGGUUGUCCAAAACACGAAUUUAAGUUCGAAUUUAAAUUUAACUAAAGUAUAUGCAAACACAACUUAAAUUUAAAUUAUAAUCAAAAGGGGGACAACCCUUUUGACAUGAAGACAAACUUUAACAGAGGGUAAUGAAAACCUAACAAAGCAUAGUAGGCCUAGAAGCAGCCAUCAAUUAAGAUAGCGUUAAAGCUCAAAUUAAACUAAUAUUAAAUACCUAUAAUUUAUCAAAACCCCUUAAUCUAAUAUUGGACAAUUCUAUAAUUUUAUAGAAGAUAUAAUGCUAAUAUUAGUAACAUGAACUAAUUUCUCCUAGCAUAGACUUAAACUCAGUUCGGAAGCACCACUAGUAAUUAACAAACAAAAUAAUUAAACCCAUAAUCAAGUUUUAUAUUUAUUCUAUUGUUAACCCAACACAGGCAUGCAUAAAUGGAAAGAUUAAAAGGAAUAAAAGGAACUCGGCAAACAAAAACCCCGCCUGUUUACCAAAAACAUCACCUCUAGCAUUACCAGUAUUAGAGGCACUGCCUGCCCGGUGAGUUAUAACUUUAACGGCCGCGGUAUCCUGACCGUGCAAAGGUAGCAUAAUCACUUGUCUUUUAAAUAGAGACUAGUAUGAAUGGCAUGACGAGGGUUUAUCUGUCUCUUAUUUCUAAUCAGUGAAAUUGACCUUCCCGUGAAGAGGCGGGAAUAUCUAUACAAGACGAGAAGACCCUGCGGAGCUUAAGACACCUAACUCAACUAUUACCCUUAUACCCUAAAGGAACAAAAGGUAAACCAACUGAGUUAAAGUCUUUGGUUGGGGUGACCUCGGAGCAUAAAAGAACCUCCGAAUGAUUAAUAACCAAGAUUUACUUUUCUAAGUGUAUAACUACCAGUAAUUGACCCAUCAAUUGAUCAACGAAAUAAGUUACCCCAGGGAUAACAGCGCUAUCCUAUUCAAGAGCCCAUAUCGAAAAUUAGGGUUUACGACCUCGAUGUUGGAUCAGGACUCCCAAAUGGUGCAGAAGCUAUUAACGGUUCGUUUGUUCAACGAUUAAAGUCCUACGUGAUCUGAGUUCAGACCGGAGAAAUCCAGGUCGGUUUCUAUCUGUAAUUUACUCCUCCCAGUACGAAAGGACAAGAGAAGUAGGGCCUACACUGCAAGCAAGCCCUAGAGCCAAAAUAUGAACUAAUCUAAAUAUUAUAACUUUAUUUAUUCCAACCUAAGAAUAGAGGU
Molecule: ribosomal RNA, 1568 nt
Filed under: Thylacinus cynocephalus (Tasmanian wolf)
Lineage: Eukaryota; Metazoa; Chordata; Mammalia; Dasyuromorphia; Thylacinidae
Description: 16S ribosomal RNA
Rfam family: Bacterial large subunit ribosomal RNA
Source: RNAcentral